Molecule: ribosomal RNA, 715 nt
Filed under: uncultured bacterium
Lineage: Bacteria
Description: bacterial SSU rRNA
Rfam family: Bacterial small subunit ribosomal RNA
Source: RNAcentral
AUCUGCCUGGUAGUGGGGGAUAACGUCCGGACCUUCUGGCGAAUACCGCAUACCUCCUGAGGGAGAAAGUGGGGGAUCUUCGGACCUCACGCUAUCAGAUGAGCCUAGGUCUUAUUAGCUAGUUGGUGGGGUAAAGGCCUACCAAGGCGACGAUCCGUAACUGGUCUGAGAGGAUGAUCAGUCACACUGGAACUGAGACACGGUCCAGACUCCUACGGGAGGCAGCAGUGGGGAAUAUUGGACAAUGGGCGAAAGCCUGAUCCAGCCAUGCCGCGUGUGUGAAGAAGGUCUUCGGAUUGUAAAGCACUUUAAGUUGGGAGGAAGGGCAGUAAGUUAAUACCUUGCUGUUUUGACGUUACCAACAGAAUAAGCACCGGCUAGCUGCGUGCCAGCAGCCGCGGUAAUACGAAGGGUGCAAGCGUUAAUCGGAAUUACUGGGCGUAAAGCGCGCGUAGGUGGUUCAGCAAGUUGGAUGUGAAAUCCCCGGGCUCAACCUGGGAACUGCAUCCAAAACUACUGAGCUAGAGUACGGUAGAGGGUGGUGGAAUUUCCUGUGUAGCGGUGAAAUGCGUAGAUAUAGGACGGAGCACCAGUGGCGAAGGCGACCACCUGGACUGAUACUGACACUGAGGUGCGAAAGCGUGGGGAGCAAACAGGAUGAGACACCCUCCUAGUCCACGCCGUAAACCAUGUCGACUAGCCACUGGGAUCCCUC